This is an unclassified non-coding RNA of Erinaceus europaeus (western European hedgehog), 317 nucleotides long. Its record names the gene 7SK. It matches the Rfam family "7SK RNA". From Rfam's summary of the family: 7SK was discovered as an abundant small nuclear RNA in the mid-70s but a possible function has only recently been suggested. Two independent studies have found that 7SK RNA binds the CDK9/cyclin T complex (known as elongation factor P-TEFb). NCBI's taxonomy places the organism in Eukaryota, Metazoa, Chordata, Mammalia, Eulipotyphla, Erinaceidae. The record is from Ensembl.
GGAUGUGAGGGAAAUCUGGCUGUGACAUCUGUUACCCCACUGUUUGCCAGGAUUGAUUUGGCUGAUCUGACUAGCUAGGCGGGUGUCCCCUUCCUCCCUCACCACUCCAUGUGUGUCCCUCCCAAAGCAGCAUGCUCAGUCAAAGAGGACAGCCUUCCCCAAAUAGAGACAGGCCAGCCUUCCGUUGAGGGUACAUGAUUAGAUGUGCUCCCCUGCUAGAACCUCCAAACAAGCUCUCAAGAAUAGCAUCUGUGGAUAGUGCACUUCUUUACCAUGUGCAUGACAAGCUGGUCCCCACCACAUUGAAGGAAGCUUCA